Anastrepha ludens (Mexican fruit fly) is the source of this 378-nucleotide long non-coding RNA. RefSeq lists it as uncharacterized. The transcript has 3 exons. The record is from RefSeq and is a predicted model, not a curated record. Lineage: Eukaryota; Metazoa; Arthropoda; Insecta; Diptera; Tephritidae.
UUUAGUUUUUCAAAAACAAAAAAAAAAGAAUUUUUUUUAAUUACAAAAUUCUGCCCAUUGCAUUUAAAUUGUUUAUGUAUGUUAGGCAAAGGUGUUAAGACGUGCAAUGGAGCUACAAAGAAACAAAUACUGACCAUUCGAAUGAAAUUCGUGCUGCUUGGUGUUAUCUCUUAUCUGUUACCUGUACUUGAGUUGUGUAUUUUUAGUUAAAAGAACACAAAGUAAUGGGAUACCCGGAACCGCAAGCCUCUUGAAGAUAAGCCCUUACCAAUUCAAUAAAAAUAUCUCUCACCAUGUGCGCAUCCUAAGGGGUGCCUUUUGAUACCAAUAAAGGAUGGCACUUUCCAUGAUACUUAGCAAAAUUUAAAAAUUUUUUAA